ACUAAGCGUACACGGUGGAUGCCCUGGCAGUCAGAGGCGAUGAAGGACGUGCUAAUCUGCGAUAAGCGUCGGUAAGGUGAUAUGAACCGUUAUAACCGGCGAUUUCCGAAUGGGGAAACCCAGUGUGUUUCGACACACUAUCAUUAACUGAAUCCAUAGGUUAAUGAGGCGAACCGGGGGAACUGAAACAUCUAAGUACCCCGAGGAAAAGAAAUCAACCGAGAUUCCCCCAGUAGCGGCGAGCGAACGGGGAGCAGCCCAGAGCCUGAAUCAGUGUGUGUGUUAGUGGAAGCGUCUGGAAAGGCGCGCGAUACAGGGUGACAGCCCCGUACACAAAAAUGCACAUGCUGUGAGCUCGAUGAGUAGGGCGGGACACGUGGUAUCCUGUCUGAAUAUGGGGGGACCAUCCUCCAAGGCUAAAUACUCCUGACUGACCGAUAGUGAACCAGUACCGUGAGGGAAAGGCGAAAAGAACCCCGGCGAGGGGAGUGAAAAAGAACCUGAAACCGUGUACGUACAAGCAGUGGGAGCCUCUUUAUGGGGUGACUGCGUACCUUUUGUAUAAUGGGUCAGCGACUUAUAUUCUGUAGCAAGGUUAACCGAAUAGGGGAGCCGAAGGGAAACCGAGUCUUAACUGGGCGUUAAGUUGCAGGGUAUAGACCCGAAACCCGGUGAUCUAGCCAUGGGCAGGUUGAAGGUUGGGUAACACUAACUGGAGGACCGAACCGACUAAUGUUGAAAAAUUAGCGGAUGACUUGUGGCUGGGGGUGAAAGGCCAAUCAAACCGGGAGAUAGCUGGUUCUCCCCGAAAGCUAUUUAGGUAGCGCCUCGUGAAUUCAUCUCCGGGGUAGAGCACUGUUUCGGCAAGGGGGUCAUCCCGACUUACCAACCCGAUGCAAACUGCGAAUACCGGAGAAUGUUAUCACGGGAGACACACGGCGGGUGCUAACGUCCGUCGUGAAGAGGGAAACAACCCAGACCGCCAGCUAAGGUCCCAAAGUCAUGGUUAAGUGGGAAACGAUGUGGGAAGGCCCAGACAGCCAGGAUGUUGGCUUAGAAGCAGCCAUCAUUUAAAGAAAGCGUAAUAGCUCACUGGUCGAGUCGGCCUGCGCGGAAGAUGUAACGGGGCUAAACCAUGCACCGAAGCUGCGGCAGCGACGCUUAUGCGUUGUUGGGUAGGGGAGCGUUCUGUAAGCCUGUGAAGGUGUGCUGUGAGGCAUGCUGGAGGUAUCAGAAGUGCGAAUGCUGACAUAAGUAACGAUAAAGCGGGUGAAAAGCCCGCUCGCCGGAAGACCAAGGGUUCCUGUCCAACGUUAAUCGGGGCAGGGUGAGUCGACCCCUAAGGCGAGGCCGAAAGGCGUAGUCGAUGGGAAACAGGUUAAUAUUCCUGUACUUGGUGUUACUGCGAAGGGGGACGGAGAAGGCUAUGUUGGCCGGGCGACGGUUGUCCCGGUUUAAGCGUGUAGGCUGAUUUUCCAGGCAAAUCCGGAAAAUCAAGGCUGAGGCGUGAUGACGAGGCACUACGGUGCUGAAGCAACAAAUGCCCUGCUUCCAGGAAAAGCCUCUAAGCAUCAGGUAACAUCAAAUCGUACCCCAAACCGACACAGGUGGUCAGGUAGAGAAUACCAAGGCGCUUGAGAGAACUCGGGUGAAGGAACUAGGCAAAAUGGUGCCGUAACUUCGGGAGAAGGCACGCUGAUAUGUAGGUGAAGUCCCUCGCGGAUGGAGCUGAAAUCAGUCGAAGAUACCAGCUGGCUGCAACUGUUUAUUAAAAACACAGCACUGUGCAAACACGAAAGUGGACGUAUACGGUGUGACGCCUGCCCGGUGCCGGAAGGUUAAUUGAUGGGGUCAGCGCAAGCGAAGCUCUUGAUCGAAGCCCCGGUAAACGGCGGCCGUAACUAUAACGGUCCUAAGGUAGCGAAAUUCCUUGUCGGGUAAGUUCCGACCUGCACGAAUGGCGUAAUGAUGGCCAGGCUGUCUCCACCCGAGACUCAGUGAAAUUGAACUCGCUGUGAAGAUGCAGUGUACCCGCGGCAAGACGGAAAGACCCCGUGAACCUUUACUAUAGCUUGACACUGAACAUUGAGCCUUGAUGUGUAGGAUAGGUGGGAGGCUUUGAAGUGUGGACGCCAGUCUGCAUGGAGCCGGCCUUGAAAUACCACCCUUUAAUGUUUGAUGUUCUAACGUGGACCCGUAAUCCGGGUUGCGGACAGUGUCUGGUGGGUAGUUUGACUGGGGCGGUCUCCUCCUAAAGAGUAACGGAGGAGCACGAAGGUUGGCUAAUCCUGGUCGGACAUCAGGAGGUUAGUGCAAUGGCAUAAGCUAGCUUGACUGCGAGCGUGACGGCGCGAGCAGGUGCGAAAGCAGGUCAUAGUGAUCCGGUGGUUCUGAAUGGAAGGGCCAUCGCUCAACGGAUAAAAGGUACUCCGGGGAUAACAGGCUGAUACCGCCCAAGAGUUCAUAUCGACGGCGGUGUUUGGCACCUCGAUGUCGGCUCAUCACAUCCUGGGGCUGAAGUAGGUCCCAAGGGUAUGGCUGUUCGCCAUUUAAAGUGGUACGCGAGCUGGGUUUAGAACGUCGUGAGACAGUUCGGUCCCUAUCUGCCGUGGGCGCUGGAGAACUGAGGGGGGCUGCUCCUAGUACGAGAGGACCGGAGUGGACGCAUCACUGGUGUUCGGGUUGUCAUGCCAAUGGCACUGCCCGGUAGCUAAAUGCGGAAGAGAUAAGUGCUGAAAGCAUCUAAGCACGAAACUUGCCCCGAGAUGAGUUCUCCCUGACCCUUUAAGGGUCCUGAAGGAACGUUGAAGACGACGACGUUGAUAGGCCGGGUGUGUAAGCGCAGCGAUGCGUUGAGCUAACCGGUACUAAUGAACCGUGAGGCUUAACC
RNAcentral lists this ribosomal RNA (2890 nucleotides) under Shigella boydii. RNAcentral describes it as "bacterial LSU rRNA". It matches the Rfam family "Bacterial large subunit ribosomal RNA". The record is from RNAcentral. Lineage: Bacteria; Pseudomonadati; Pseudomonadota; Gammaproteobacteria; Enterobacterales; Enterobacteriaceae.